AAAUGACAGAAAAAGCAUCCUCUAGAGUGUACUGUGGCGCCAAACCUCUAAUCCGAACGUAAACCUUGAUACUUGGGGUCUCAUCUGGCCGUGAGAUUCCCAAACUCUACUUCUGGCGUUACGUGUGAAAGGGAUAAAUACUUUAUAUUUUACAUGGAAUUAAAAAUACGUAGAAGUCUAUUCUUUAACAAGGCAAAGAUGUCAGCUAAAUUCUAUUUGCAUGAGUGAGAAAUGGCAUUGAAAAGAAUGUCUGAUGUGAAUUAUGUCUAUUUGGCUGAGCUUCUAAUAUUCUCUCUCAUUUUGCGAUCGAUGGUUGUCACCAAGGUCUCUGUGACUGAAGAUAUACCCUUUCUGCUUACUCUCUUGAACCCACCUCGCUACUAUUGCCCUCACAAAGUCAUUUCUAGAGCAAAACAUUUUGGGAACGGAGGGACACAGAACCAUUCUUAAGAUUCGAAGCAUUCCAAAGAUUCUACAGGAAGUGAAAGUUUACGCAGGUCGCAGCGGAGCUCCAGGACUCUGAACACAUAAACCUGGAAUACUCCACAGAUAACUUCCUGCAAUCAAGAGGACCAGCCUGACUGCGGAGGUAGAACUAAGUUCACAGAGGAAUGGUAGAAUCUAGAAAGGGAGUCUUGAAGAGAGAAGAUUGGAACUGUGUCCACGGAGGCCAGAAGAGGGCACUGAAUCCGCAGAAAUGGAUUUAUAAGCUGCAGAACAUGGGUCCUGGUACAGAAUUUGGGUACUUUACAAAAACAAUAUGUACUCUAAACCACGGAACCAGCGUUCUAGCCCCCAACUCUUCAGACUCCCACCCAGUUCUCUCUCCUUCACAUUAAAAAAACUAUAUUUAAUAUUUACUG
Molecule: long non-coding RNA, 863 nt
Filed under: Mus pahari (shrew mouse)
Lineage: Eukaryota; Metazoa; Chordata; Mammalia; Rodentia; Muridae
Description: lncRNA (MGP_PahariEiJ_G0002781.1)
Source: RNAcentral